AAUGGUUGACCAGUGGCUGAAC
RNAcentral lists this microRNA (22 nucleotides) under Gallus gallus (chicken). RNAcentral's name for it is "gga-miR-6662-3p". The record is from miRBase by way of RNAcentral. Lineage: Eukaryota; Metazoa; Chordata; Aves; Galliformes; Phasianidae.